Molecule: ribosomal RNA, 500 nt
Filed under: uncultured bacterium
Lineage: Bacteria
Description: partial 16S ribosomal RNA
Rfam family: Bacterial small subunit ribosomal RNA
Source: RNAcentral
AUUGAACGCUAGCGGGAUGCCUUACACAUGCAAGUCGAACGGCAGCACGGACUUCGGUCUGGUGGCGAGCGGCGAACGGGUGAGUAAUGUAUCGGAACGUGCGUAGGAGCGGGGGAUAACUACGCGAAAGCGUAGCUAAUACCGCAUACGCCCUACGGGGGAAAGCAGGGGAUCGUGAGACCUUGCAGUAUUAGAUCAUCCGAUAUCGGAUUAGCUAGUUGGUGGGGUAACGGCUCACCAAGGCGACGAUCAGUAGCUGGUUUGAGAGGACGACCAGCCACACUGGGACUGAGACACGGCCCAGACUCCUACGGGAGGCAGCAGUGGGGAAUUUUGGACAAUGGGGGAAACCCUGAUCCAGCCAUCCCGCGUGUGCGAUGAAGGCCUUCGGGUUGUAAAGCACUUUUGGCAGGAAAGAAACGUUCCUGGUUAAUACCCAGGGAAACUGACGGUACCUGCAGAAUAAGCACCGGCUAACUACGUGCCAGCCGCCGCCGUAA